This is a non-coding RNA of Pelobates cultripes (western spadefoot toad), 231 nucleotides long. NCBI's taxonomy places the organism in Eukaryota, Metazoa, Chordata, Amphibia, Anura, Pelobatidae. The record is from the annotation of a GenBank genome assembly.
CCCCCCGUCUCGUCUUUCCUCCAAGCUAUACAUGUUAAGAUCCUUUAACCUUUCCUGGUAAGUUUUAUCCCGCAAUCCAUGAACCAGUUUAGUAGCCCUUCUCUGAACCCUCUCUAAGGUAUCAAUAUCCUUCUGAAGAUACGUUCUCCAGUACUGCGUACAAUACUCCAAGUGAGGUCUCACCAGUGUUCUGUACAAUGACAUGAGCACUUCCCUCUUUCUACUGCCAAU